AUCCAGAUUACGAGUCCCGAAUAGGACGAAAUGUGCAUCCUGGAU
RNAcentral lists this non-coding RNA (45 nucleotides) under Trichobilharzia regenti. The record is from RNAcentral. Lineage: Eukaryota; Metazoa; Platyhelminthes; Trematoda; Strigeidida; Schistosomatidae.